RNAcentral lists this ribosomal RNA (253 nucleotides) under uncultured bacterium. RNAcentral describes it as "partial 16S ribosomal RNA". It matches the Rfam family "Bacterial small subunit ribosomal RNA", at positions 524 to 776 of the family's 1533-position model. The record is from RNAcentral.
UACAGAGGUCUCAAGCGUUGUUCGGAUUCAUUGGGCGUAAAGGGUGCGUAGGUGGCGCCAUAAGUCAGGUGUGAAAUCUCGGGGCUUAACUCCGAAACUGCAUUUGAUACUGUGGUGCUUGAGGACUGGAGAGGAGACUGGAAUUUACGGUGUAGCAGUGAAAUGCGUAGAGAUCGUAAGGAAGACCAGUGGCGAAGGCGGGUCUCUGGACAGUGCCUGACACUGAGGCACGAAGGCCAGGGGAGCAAACGGG